Molecule: microRNA precursor, 87 nt
Filed under: Equus asinus (donkey)
Lineage: Eukaryota; Metazoa; Chordata; Mammalia; Perissodactyla; Equidae
Also listed under: 1 other name
Description: mir-9014 microRNA precursor family
Rfam family: mir-9014 microRNA precursor family
Source: Rfam by way of RNAcentral
GGAGCCAUAGGGAGGGACCCAACUCAGCCUUAGGAAGAGAAACCUUCCAUGGGAGUCUUGGAGCUUGGCGACUGUCCUAAUGACUUA